AUUACAUUGCGUGCAGCUGCAGGGACCAAAAACGAUAAGUCAUCCUCGCGUACACGGAGAGAAUUUAAAUUUGAAAACUUUUAAAUGAUGUACACCCCGCUUUCGUGAAAGGUAAUCACGAUUUGCGAGUCCGGCUGAACUGGUACGCGGAUUUUGUGAACGGGGUUCCAUUCCUCUUCUCCGCCGUGAGAUACAUGGUCAUGUGGAAUCGCAUUUUCACGAUUUCAGAAUGGAAAAAAUCGAAAAUCGUUAGAAAUUCGCCGUUGAAUGGAGCAUCAGCGGAGAUGCGCGCUAUCUUCGAUGAGCUGAUUAACAAACCUCCACUGUGCGCGGUAUAAACUUGGCCGCAUCGCGGACCGCAGAGGAUGGACUUGCUCGUGGACUUACAAGGCGGACGGACCUGCGAUACAAUAUACUCGACGAGAAGACCGGCGAUACUCCUGUCCCUUCGCAGACCUUUCGACGAGCUUCCGGAAGAGGGUUUCACCUUCUGAGAUGGGGGUCUACGGGGGAACUUCUCCAUCCACGUUUUCAUUGUACCCAGGACGCGGGGACCCAGAGGGGUUCGGUUUCCACUCGGGAUAUCGCACCGACUAGCUGUUCGAAGGCCAUGGACAGAUCCGCGUUGACGAUCGUCUCGUCGAACAGGUGAGAGUAAAGAAAUUCUAUUCGGUCAGCGCUGUGGAUCAUCUCGUGGAACUCUUCGUCCUGGAACACGAGGGUGAGUCCGAAUUAACGAAUGAUUGGCGACGGCGCAAUUUUUCCCCGUGUUGA
Athalia rosae (coleseed sawfly) is the source of this 774-nucleotide long non-coding RNA. RefSeq lists it as uncharacterized. The record is from RefSeq and is a predicted model, not a curated record. The transcript has 3 exons. NCBI's taxonomy places the organism in Eukaryota, Metazoa, Arthropoda, Insecta, Hymenoptera, Athaliidae.